AGUUUGAUCAUGGCUCAGAACGUACGCUGGCGGCACGCCUAAUACAUGCAAGUCGAACGAAGUAGCAAUACUUAGUGGCAGACGGGUGAGUAACAUGUAGGUAUCUGCCCUUUGGCCUGGAAUAACACGAGGAAACUUGUGCUAAUACCGGAUAAGUCUUUACGGAGAAAGCUUUAUGCACCAUUGGAUGAGCCCGCACUUGAUUAGUUUGUUGGUAGGGUAAUGGCCUACCAAGACUUUGAUCAAUAGCUGAUUUGAGAGGAUGAUCAGCCACAUUGGGACUGAGACACGGCCCAAACUCCUACGGGAGGCAGCAGUAGGGAAUCUUGCACAAUGGAGGAAACUCUGAUGCAGCGAUGCCGCGUGAGUGAAGAAGGCCUUUGGGUUGUAAAGCUCUUUCGUCGGGGAAGAAAAUGACUGUACCCGAAUAAGAAGGUCCGGCUAACUUCGUGCCAGCAGCCGCGGUAAUACGAAGGGACCUAGCGUAGUUCGGAAUUACUGGGCUUAAAGAGUUCGUAGGUGGUUAAAAAAGUUGGUGGUGAAAGCCCAGAGCUUAACUCUGGAACUGCCAUCAAAACUUUUUAGCUAGAGUAUGAUAGAGGAAAGCAGAAUUUCUAGUGUAGAGGUGAAAUUCGUAGAUAUUAGAAAGAAUACCAAUUGCGAAGGCAGCUUUCUGGAUCAUUACUGACACUGAGGAACGAAAGCAUGGGUAGCGAAGAGGAUUAGAUACCCUCGUAGUCCAUGCCGUAAACGAUGUGUGUUAGAUGUUGGAAAUUUAUUUUCAGUAUCGCAGCGAAAGCAAUAAACACACCGCCUGGGGAGUACGACCGCAAGGUUAAAACUCAAAUGAAUUGACGGGGACCCGCACAAGUAGUGGAGCAUGUGGUUUAAUUCGAAGAUACGCGCAGAACCUUACCAACACUUGACAUGUUCGUCGCGACUCUAAGAGAUUAGAGUUUUCGGUUCGGCCGGACGAAACACAGGUGCUGCAUGGCUGUCGUCAGCUCGUGUCGUGAGAUGUUGGGUUAAGUCCCGCAACGAGCGCAACCCUUACUUUUAGUUGCUACCAUUUAGUUGGGCACUCUAAAAGAACUGCCAGUGAUAAGCUGGAGGAAGGCGGGGAUGACGUCAAGUCCUCAUGGCCCUUACGUGUUGGGCUACACACGUGCUACAAUGGUACUUACAAUGAGAUGCGAAGAGGCGACUCUAAGCUAAUCCCAAAAAGGUACCUCAGUUCGGAUUGUACUCUGCAACUCGAGUACAUGAAGCUGGAAUUACUAGUAAUCGCGGAUCAGCGCGCCGCGGUGAAUACGUUCCCGGGUCUUGUACACACCGCCCGUCACACCAUGGAAGUUGGUUACACCUUAAGGCAAAGCAUAAAACCUUUGACUACGGUACGAUCAGCGACUGGGGUGAAGUCGUAACAAGGUA
This 1431-nucleotide ribosomal RNA is filed under the name uncultured bacterium. RNAcentral describes it as "partial 16S ribosomal RNA". It matches the Rfam family "Bacterial small subunit ribosomal RNA". The record is from RNAcentral.